Molecule: ribosomal RNA, 206 nt
Filed under: uncultured bacterium
Lineage: Bacteria
Description: partial 16S ribosomal RNA
Rfam family: Bacterial small subunit ribosomal RNA
Source: RNAcentral
CACGUAGGCGGCCUGUUAAGUGUGGAGUGAAAUCCCACGGCUCACCCGUGGAACUGCUUCGCAUACUGGCAAGCUCGAGGACGGUAGGGGAGAGCGGAACUCUUGGUGGAGCGGUGAAAUGCGUAGAUAUCAAGAGGGACGCCGAUGGCGAAGGCAGCUCUCUGGUCCGUUUCUGCGCUGAGGUGCGAAAGCUAGGGUAGCGAACG